This 84-nucleotide transfer RNA is filed under the name Felis catus (domestic cat). It matches the Rfam family "tRNA". From Rfam's summary of the family: Transfer RNA (tRNA) molecules are approximately 80 nucleotides in length. Their secondary structure includes four short double-helical elements and three loops (D, anti-codon, and T loops). The record is from Rfam by way of RNAcentral. Lineage: Eukaryota; Metazoa; Chordata; Mammalia; Carnivora; Felidae.
GCCUGGGUGGCUUAGUCAGUAAGCAUCUGACUUCAGCUCAGGUCAUGAUCUCGCGGUUCGUGAAUUCAAGCCCCACAUCAGGCU